This 253-nucleotide ribosomal RNA is filed under the name uncultured bacterium. Its description in RNAcentral is "partial 16S ribosomal RNA". It matches the Rfam family "Bacterial small subunit ribosomal RNA", at positions 524 to 776 of the family's 1533-position model. The record is from RNAcentral.
UACGGAGGGGGCUGGCGUUGUUCGGAAUUACUGGGCGUAAAGCGCACGUAGGCGGCUUUGUAGGUUAGAGGUGAAAGCCCAGAGCUCAACUCUGGAAUUGCCUUUAAGACUGCAUCGCUUGAAUCAUGGAGAGGUGAGUGGAAUUCCGAGUGUAGAGGUGAAAUUCGUAGAAAUUCGGAAGAACACCAGUGGCGAAGGCGACUCACUGGACAUGUAUUGACGCUGAGGUGCGAAAGCGUGGGGAGCAAACAGG